GCUUACGGCCACGACGCCUGGUUCACGCCCGAUCUCGUUUGAUCUCGGAAGCUAAGAUAGGUUGGGCCUGGUUAGUACUUGAAAAGGAGACCGCCUGGGAAUACCAGGUGCUGUAAGCA
Ribosomal RNA from Scophthalmus maximus (turbot), 119 nucleotides. The record is from Ensembl. Lineage: Eukaryota; Metazoa; Chordata; Actinopteri; Pleuronectiformes; Scophthalmidae.